UGGAGUUUGCUUCUCUCUGUCUACCAGAACCCAAAUGUAUUGACCUUUGGAUCAUGCUGCAAAGCUCAUUUUUUCCCCCCAGGCUUUUUUCUGGGAGUAGAUCAAACUGGAUGGCAGAAGAAUCCUGAGGAAUGUGGGGCUGUUUAGAAGAACAGUGGUGAUUAAUGAAGAAGGCAUUUCCUGGCAGUUUAUGCCCAAGGCCAGUCCAUCUUCUCAAUAAAGACACGAGGAGUUGACUUCAGUGGAAGCAGAAACAUGGAACUAUAUUUGGCAGCCC
Molecule: long non-coding RNA, 277 nt
Organism: Mauremys reevesii (Reeves's turtle)
Lineage: Eukaryota; Metazoa; Chordata; Testudines; Geoemydidae
Exons: 3
Source: RefSeq, a predicted model, not a curated record